Camelina sativa (false flax) is the source of this 436-nucleotide non-coding RNA. The record is from RefSeq and is a predicted model, not a curated record. NCBI's taxonomy places the organism in Eukaryota, Viridiplantae, Streptophyta, Magnoliopsida, Brassicales, Brassicaceae.
CUCAUGUAACACGAGCAUCGAUCUUCUCACAAAGACCAAGGUGGCUAAAGCCAAAACAACUUUGAAAACCUAUGAUGUCUUUACUAAAAGCUCACACUUAUCUAACGAGAGAGCACUUCAUGAUCUAAUCGAAUAUCACACUGUUAUUGGCAGCAAACGUGACUAUUGUCAGUUAGCUUUUGCUAACCCACAAGAUAGACUUUAUUGCGGUGAAGCUACAAUAAAAAGAGAAAUGAGUGCUAUUAUACAUGAUUGGCAUCUCAUAUCGUGGGUUCUCCGUUGAUUCUGGCGACGAAGAGGACCCUGUGGCUCAUGGUGCUUCAUCCGUAAACCGCUGCAUCAGCUAGGCAAAGAUCUCAUAUCAAAAUCAAGGGAGAAGUUUCUACGAGACACUGUCGGUGAGAGCUCCAUCGUCGGUGUAGCGACGCAGAACAGA